Heterocephalus glaber (naked mole-rat) is the source of this 570-nucleotide long non-coding RNA. The record is from Ensembl. NCBI's taxonomy places the organism in Eukaryota, Metazoa, Chordata, Mammalia, Rodentia, Bathyergidae.
CUUCUACUGACAGACAUUCUCGGAGUUGCAUGGUAGCAUGGCUUACAACUAGGAAGCCAGAGGAUGAAGACAUAUUGACAGGCAUUUUUAGAAAUUCCUGUUUAGAUAUUGAGUUACAGCAAUAUUACCAACAUUAGGAAAAGAGGGUGACCUGAAGGAGAGGGAAGUCUCUAAACAUCUGCUUUGGGCCAGACUUCACAAGGAAAUUUCCUCCAAGUGACCGGGCUUGAGUUGUUUCUAGCGUCUUUGCACAUAGCACCACGCGUCUGCCUCACUCGUGGAGGAUGUGGUUUCCAGACUCCUGAUUGUCUUCCCUCUCUGUCUGCACAGCUCGGAGAUGAAGAUUCUCAUCUUACCCGGUGUUUCUGAUUGGCUGCCAGUGACAAAGAGGAGAGCAAGUCAUGCAGAGUGCAGAGGGGAAUGCUACCCGUGGUGUGCCCACGAUGCUGCAGGAGGGAAAGAAAAGAUUGGAAAAGAAUACAGUUCACCAGGCAUGGAGUCAGCUACUUUUUCCCUAGUUAUGUAUCUAAUGCAAAUGUGAUAUUGUUGAUAAAAAGAUAUAGCUUCCCA